AGAGUUUGAUCAUGGCUCAGGACGAACGCUGGCGGCGUGCCUAAUACAUGCAAGUCGAGCGGACGAAUCGAAAGCUUGCUUUUGAUUCGUUAGCGGCGGACGGGUGAGUAACACGUGGGCAACCUGCCCUGUAGACGGGGAUAACACCGAGAAAUCGGUGCUAAUACCGGAUAACACGAAAUGUCGCAUGACGUUUCGUUGAAAGACGGCGCAAGCUGUCGCUACAGGAUGGGCCCGCGGCGCAUUAGCUAGUUGGUGAGGUAACGGCUCACCAAGGCGACGAUGCGUAGCCGACCUGAGAGGGUGAUCGGCCACACUGGGACUGAGACACGGCCCAGACUCCUACGGGAGGCAGCAGUAGGGAAUCUUCCGCAAUGGACGAAAGUCUGACGGAGCAACGCCGCGUGAGCGAAGAAGGCCUUCGGGUCGUAAAGCUCUGUUGUUAGGGAAGAACAAGUAACGCAGUAACUGGCGUUAUCGUGACGGUACCUAACGAGAAAGCCACGGCUAACUACGUGCCAGCAGCCGCGGUAAUACGUAGGUGGCAAGCGUUGUCCGGAAUUAUUGGGCGUAAAGCGCGCGCAGGCGGUUCCUUAAGUCUGAUGUGAAAGCCCACGGCUCAACCGUGGAGGGUCAUUGGAAACUGGGGGGACUUGAGUGCAGAAGAGGAGAGCGGAAUUCCACGUGUAGCGGUGAAAUGCGUAGAGAUGUGGAGGAACACCAGUGGCGAAGGCGGCUCUCUGGUCUGUAACUGACGCUGAGGCGCGAAAGCGUGGGGGAGCAAACAGGAUUAGAUACCC
Molecule: ribosomal RNA, 800 nt
Filed under: uncultured bacterium
Lineage: Bacteria
Description: bacterial SSU rRNA
Rfam family: Bacterial small subunit ribosomal RNA
Source: RNAcentral